ACAAACAGACUGAGAAUGUUUAUCCUUGCGCCCAGUGGAUUCACACCGGGCUAGUGGACCAGCUUCCUUACCAGCAGCACAUAGAAGAAGGAAGAGAUUCUGCAUGGGGGAAGGACCUAUUCUGUCUCCAAACUUCCCCAUUUCUAUUGAGGACAUCAUCCUUCUAGCCACCCAGGUUUUGUAAGGAAACAGCAGAAAACUGUGCAACAUAUCACCUCAGGCUGUGAAGACUUAAUACCUACCAGACACUUAAAAUGAAAGACACAAUCAGAAUUAUACACCAGGAACUUGCUAUUCCUUAUAAACUAGGAGAUGAUAAAUUCCCCUAUUAGAAAUGCAAACUCCCAAAUACUCUUGAGAAUUCAAUAAAUGGACUCUUGGAAUAGAAGCAUUAUCAGAAAUGAAAUCAUUGCUUACAGUGGUUCAGACAUAAUAUUGAUCUGUGUUAAGUAACUUAACAAUGAUGUUUUUAAUGGAAGUCAACAUGGACGCAACCUCCAAACUAUGUGUAAUGAGAAGCUCUGAAAACAUAGAGUCCUAUUGAUCAGAAGAGGUCAAAAUCAUGUGGAAACAGGUGCAUAUCGUCCUCGUCAUCUUGUCUGCUCCUGUACUUGUCCCAAAGUUGCUUUCUAUGAUUCUACAGAAAAUAAAGCCUUGGAAGUCUUU
Non-coding RNA from Phascolarctos cinereus (koala), 666 nucleotides. Lineage: Eukaryota; Metazoa; Chordata; Mammalia; Diprotodontia; Phascolarctidae. The record is from RefSeq and is a predicted model, not a curated record.